Molecule: ribosomal RNA, 468 nt
Filed under: uncultured bacterium
Lineage: Bacteria
Description: partial 16S ribosomal RNA
Rfam family: Bacterial small subunit ribosomal RNA
Source: RNAcentral
GACGAACGCUGGCGGCGUGCUUAACACAUGCAAGUCGAACGGUGAUGCUCCAGCUUGCUGGAGUGGAUCAGUGGCGAACGGGUGAGUAACACGUGAGCAACCUGCCCCAGACUCUGGAAUAAGCGCUGGAAACGGCGUCUAAUACUGGAUACGAAACUGGCCCGCAUGGGCAUGGUUUGGAAAGUUUUUCGGUUUGGGAUGGGCUCGCGGCCUAUCAGCUUGUUGGUGAGGUAAUGGCUCACCAAGGCGACGACGGGUAGCCGGCCUGAGAGGGCGACCGGCCACACUGGGACUGAGACACGGCCCAGACUCCUACGGGAGGCAGCAGUGGGGAAUAUUGCACAAUGGGCGAAAGCCUGAUGCAGCGACGCCGCGUGAGGGAUGACGGCCCUCGGGUUGUAAACCUCUUUCAGCAGGGAAGAAGCGAAAGUGACGGUACCUGCAGAAGAAGCACCGGCUAACUACGUG